CCCUGUCUUUAAUGAUUGAUCCAAAUGUCAACAUGCUUCCAGUUUGCAGUCCAAGUCCAUGUAACCCCUUUUAUUCAUAACAAUUACUGGAUCUGUACACGAGGCUGCUGUCUUUUGGAUGUUUCAGAUAUGAUCAGCGUUUUAUUUUGAAUUGUGAGGUCAUUUAAGCAGCUGCUGGAUUUAAAAGCUUUUGAUCUACUUUGAAGACACAAUGAUCUUCAUUUCAGCUGAAAAACGACAUUUCGCUUUUUACUUGUCAGUUGGUCUGUUGAGUAUACCACUGCUUGCAGAAUGCAUUGAGGUUAAGCUGGUCGGGCCUUCACGUUGCUCUGGUAGACUGGAGGUCUUGCACACAGGCAGUUGGGGAACUGUGUGUGAUGACCUAUGGAGCCUCGCCAACGCUGACGUGGUAUGUCGAGAGUUAAACUGCGGGACAGCUCUUGAGGCCACUAAAGUCGCCUCUUUUGGAGAGGGAAAGAACAUGAUCUGGUUGGAUGAUGUGCAGUGUACUGGUCAUGAGACAUCUGUCCUCAAGUGCACACACAGACCAAUGGGGCAAAAUGACUGCAGCCACUCUGAAGAUGCUGGGGUUACCUGUUCAGAACAUGUGAAGGUAGUCAACGGAAGCAAUCGGUGUACUGGCAGAGUGGAAGUCUACCAUGAAGGCAACUGGAAACGAGCAUGCAAAAGUGACUGGGCGACGUUAGACGCUGUUGUGGUGUGCCGAGAGCUUAACUGUGGCACCCCUAUCACUCAGACUGAAGAGCUAUAUUUUGGAGAGUCACGUGACCUGCAUGGCAUCAAACCCAACUGUUUAGGAAAUGAGAGCUCUAUCUCACUGUGCAGAAUUCAGGAAAGCAAGGAAAGCUGUGUGGAUGCUACUAUCGUCUGUGAACACAGUACACCAACGGGAAUAAACGGGAAUUUAUGGGAAUAAACUGGGAAUUUUCUAAAUUGAAGGUUGGCUCUUCAUAGGGAACCUAAACAUAGUUGGGGAAAGUAUAUUUUAGCAUAAUCUUGACUAAAACAAACAGAUGCCAUUUAAGUACACACUUGAAUAUCCAUGCCAUUCCUCAAUCACAUCUAGGCUACAUAGCACACGGCUUACUGCAUGGCUAUUGAGACCACACCCCCUACAGGCACUGCAUUCCUCCAUCACAUGCACAGAUGAUUUCUAGAAGACUGGAUCACACUUUUGAGCCCAAAGCACAAGACAAAUAAAGCCACACAUUUGAGCCUGUGGACUACACAAAGUGAAGUAAGUUUAGAUGAUAUUAUGGGGUAAUAUCAUCAAUUUUUUAAUUGCAAAUAUCACAUACAAAUGUAUUCAUCUAGUACAGUGUUUCUCAAACUUUUUCAUGGACCACUUAACCAAUUAAAAAAACACUCACGGACCACCUAACUCCCCAAAUAUCCCAAAACACAUCGUUUUUCUAGAACAGAUGUGGAGGCUAUUUUUAUAUAACAUUAGAAAGACUGAUUCUUAUUAUUACAUUAUUUGCUUAUUGUGCUCAUUUACAGUAUGUGGCUGUGAUUUAGGAAUAAAUGGACCCAAUCACCCCCCCCCAAGUUUUGAUGGGGUGGACAGGAACGGAGGGAAAAGUUACAUGAGAAAGUGUUUAGCUUGCAAUAUUGAAAGUAGCAAGGUCGAGUGCAGAGACUAAUAGAACACAAAGAGGUAGUCAGAACAGCACAUCGCACCGGCCUUGACUCUGUAUGGGAGCCGCGCUCCCCCGCAAAGCUAAGAAGCAACAUUAUGGUUUCCCGCUAUAUCUGAAGAAACGUUAGAGAAAACAAAUUAGUAUGAUGGUGCCAGAGUAGGGAGGGACUUCCACAGGCCGGCCGAAUGCUGAUUGGAGGAUCGUGUUGCCAAGAGACCCUAUCUGAGUCUGUGCACCAACCAAAGAGAACCAAGUCUAAACCGCGGUAUCUCUUCAGCUAGUCUUGACCAAUCAAAAAUGUACGGGCAACGCCCUGUGUAAUAAAAUGUAUUGUCGCACGAGGUUCGAGGCUCUUGACGGAUUUGGUGGUUACAGAUUACAGCUUUGCUGCCUGUGAUUCCCAAAGACGUG
This is an RNA transcript of Trematomus bernacchii (emerald rockcod), 2072 nucleotides long. It is a transcript of the gene named scavenger receptor cysteine-rich domain-containing group B protein-like, with no coding region annotated. The record is from RefSeq and is a predicted model, not a curated record. The transcript is spliced from 7 exons. NCBI's taxonomy places the organism in Eukaryota, Metazoa, Chordata, Actinopteri, Perciformes, Nototheniidae.